ACGCUCGACACCUACGGGAGGCAGCAGUGGGGAAUAUUGCACAAUGGGGGAAACCCUGAUGCAGCGACGCCGCGUGAGUGAAGAAGUAUUUCGGUAUGUAAAGCUCUAUCAGCAGGGAAGAAGAUGACGGUACCUGAGUAAGAAGUCCCGGCUAACUACGUGUCAGCAGCCGCGGUAAUCUGAGCGGGCUGGCAAGGC
RNAcentral lists this ribosomal RNA (198 nucleotides) under uncultured bacterium. RNAcentral describes it as "partial 16S ribosomal RNA". It matches the Rfam family "Bacterial small subunit ribosomal RNA", at positions 328 to 539 of the family's 1533-position model. The record is from RNAcentral.